CGGGGCCCGGCCGGCCGCGUGGAGGGGGCGCCUCCCUUAGCCCUCCUUGUUCCUCCGCCGCCGGAGCCCGAGGGGACCCCCCCCUUCCCGCCCCGAGGCGGCCCCCGAGGAGGGGGGCGAAGAAGCCGGUGGGCCGGGGGGAGCGGCCUCCGGGAACAUGGCCGAGGGGAGGCCGGCCGUCAGGGGCUGUCCCCGCAGGCAAGUAGUGCCCCAGCGGAGCUUCGGGGACCCGCACGGCGGCGCGCUGGCGGGGGUGCCGGGUGACCCUUCGCGAGGAGGGUGCCGGGAUGCGUGCUCCGGGGCAUUGUACGCCCGUGGGACGUGUAUUUCUUCUCUGUUCUCUUUGUGCCUUGCCCUUGGAUGCCUCCGCUUCUUGUUACCGGAGUGAAUUUUAAAAAAUCUUCUCCUUGAGUCGACUGUUUGAUCUGUUCGGCAUUUUUACAUGAUGCUACAGGACAAACUCUAUUCAAGGAGAAGAUAACAAACCGUGGAAGGAUUACAUAUCCAUUGUUACUGGCUUUCAGAUUUCCUGAAGAUAAUUGUUUGCCGCCGUGAAACAGUGUGUACUUACAUUUGGAAAAUCAUCGCAGAAGAAGAUUGUGUGAUUGGGGGGCGGAAGGGAGAGCGCUAGUUCCUUUUUUCAGCCAAAGUGUCGGUAUUUUAUCAGUUCUCUGUGUACCCAUUGUGUAACAAACUACAGUAUACUUGCUCCAGAUGUGAAAGCCUUCCAGCAGUCUAAGACUGAGUCUCUUAAGACUGAAGAAGAAGCAAAGUUUCACCAGGAACUCGUUUGCCUUUUCCUUUACUAUCAAGUUAUUCUUGGGAGGCCCCCUGGUGCCUGCAGUCAAUGUUCACUGUUUAAGACUUUGUGGACUCUAACAGAUGUGAACAUCUUACUGGGUCUGUGAGACAUUCGCUUUGAAAAAGUGUAUGUGUUUUUUGUAGUUACGCAUUGUUAUAAAAGGGAAGUGUAGCUAUUUAAAAAUUUUAAUAUCUUGUUAACUUUGGGGGAAGUUUAUGCUCACCAUGAACUUGGCUUGUAAACUUAAAUAUUUAAAAAUCUGAUGCUUGUAUCUCAACUUCUUUAUUUUUAUCUUACAUAAACUUACAUAUUUAUAUACUGUAUAGGCAUAAAACACAGCAGACUUAUGUGUUUUUAAAUCUUUGAUAUGGGAUCUUUUAAGUCAGAUGCACCCUUUUAAGAUUAUAGAUAAUUAAGAAACCACUAGUGGAUUGUUCAAGGUUGUUAAGAGAAAAGAUAUGGUGAGGAAAAUAGGCUAAGUGAUUCUGUUUGUUUCUGUGAAUUCAAAUUACAUACGUGUUGGGUUCUGGUUUUGGAUGAUCAUUUUCCAGACUUUUUCCCCUUUUAAAUUAGCAAGCAUUUAUUGACCUGCUUUGUGCCAGUCACCAGGAAUCCAAAAAUAAGACACAGUCUCUUCACUCAGGGAACUCCCAGUCUAAACAAGUGACUUUCAGGCUUUUUCAGCCUGCUCUCUGACAGUAAAGAGUACCAUUACUUGCUUCUUAAUCCCGGGAAGUAUGUUUAGUUUUGACUGUGCCUCCCUGGGAUUCUUAAAUUCUCCUCUUUUCCUUCCCUUUUCCAAAAUCUAGACCUGUCCAAAGACAUCCUAACAGACUUGGAUUUUCUAAUAAAUAAUUGUUUUUAAUCUUCA
Delphinapterus leucas (beluga whale) is the source of this 1673-nucleotide non-coding RNA. The record is from RefSeq and is a predicted model, not a curated record. NCBI's taxonomy places the organism in Eukaryota, Metazoa, Chordata, Mammalia, Artiodactyla, Monodontidae.